This 252-nucleotide ribosomal RNA is filed under the name uncultured bacterium. Its description in RNAcentral is "partial 16S ribosomal RNA". It matches the Rfam family "Bacterial small subunit ribosomal RNA", at positions 524 to 776 of the family's 1533-position model. The record is from RNAcentral.
UACGGAGGAUGCGAGCGUUAUCCGGAUUUGUUGGGUUUAAAGGGUGCGCAGGCGGCACGGCAAGCCGGCGGUCAAAUCGCGGGGCUCAACCCCGCCCAGCCGUCGGAACUGCCGGACUAGAGUGGGCGAGAAGUGCGCGGAAUGCGUGGUGUAGCGGUGAAAUGCAUAGAUAUCACGCAGAACUCCGAUUGCGAAGGCAGCGCACCGGCGCCCUACUGACGCUCAGGCACGAAAGCGUGGGUAUCGAACAGG